UACGUAGGGUGCGAGCGUUGUCCGGAAUUACUGGGCGUAAAGAGCUCGUAGGUGGUUUGUCGCGUUGUCCGUGAAAACUCACAGCUUAACUGUGGGCGUGCGGGCGAUACGGGCAGACUGGAGUACUGCAGGGGAGACUGGAAUUCCUGGUGUAGCGGUGGAAUGCGCAGAUAUCAGGAGGAACACCGGUGGCGAAGGCGGGUCUCUGGGCGGUAACUGACGCUGAGGAGCGAAAGCGUGGGGAGCGAACAGG
This 253-nucleotide ribosomal RNA is filed under the name uncultured bacterium. RNAcentral's name for it is "partial 16S ribosomal RNA". It matches the Rfam family "Bacterial small subunit ribosomal RNA", at positions 524 to 776 of the family's 1533-position model. The record is from RNAcentral.